GUGAUGAAAACAAGGACAGAGUUCUAGUUACGUAGCGAUGGGUAUGAAUAAUACAAAUGGCAUUUAUACAAAUCUGCAGCUGGCGUUAGUCAUUUCCAUCAUACGCCUGGAUUGGUUGAACAGAAUUAUUAUUAUAUAUAUUUUAAAACAGUGUUCCGGAGUGGGAAUUGUCUUCUUCACACACAAUAUACUUGGAAAGGAGCACACACCAUGUCCCAGACAGGUCAAUCAUCUGGCACACCAUGUCCCAGACAGGUCAAUCGUCCGGCUGGCGUGCCAUGUCCCAGACAGGUCAAUCGUCCGGCUGGCGUGCCAUGUCCCAGACAGGUCAAUCGUCCGGCUGGCGUGCCAUGUCCCAGACAGGUCAAUCGUCCGGCUGGCGUGCCAUGUCCCAGACAGGUCAAUCGUCCGGCUGGCGUGCCAUGUCCCAGACAGGUCAAUCGUCCGGCUGGCGUGCCAUGUCCCAGACAGGUCAAUCGUCCGGCUGGCGUGCCAUGUCCCAGACAGGUCAAUCGUCCGGCUGGCGUGCCAUGUCCCAGACAGGUCAAUCGUCCGGCUGGCGUGCCAUGUCCCAGACAGGUCAAUCGUCCGGCUGGCGUGCCAUGUCCCAGACAGGUCAAUCGUCCGGCUGGCGUGCCAUGUCCCAGACAGGUCAAUCGUCCGGCUGGCGUGCCAUGUCCCAGACAGGUCAAUCGUCCGGCUGGCGUGCCAUGUCCCAGACAGGUCAAUCGUCCGGCUGGCGUGCCAUGUCCCAGACAGGUCAAUCGUCCGGCUGGCGUGCCAUGUCCCAGACAGGUCAAUCGUCCGGCAUGCCAUGUCCCAGACAGGUCAAUAGCCUGGCACGCCAUGUCCCAGACAGGUCAAUCGUCUGGCACGCCAUGUCCCAGACAGGUCAAUAGCCUGGCAGGUGUGCCAUGUCCCAGACAGGUCAAUAGCCUGGCAGGUGUGCCAUGUCCCAGACAGGUCAAUAGCCUGGCAGGUGUGCCAUGUCCCAGACAGGUCAAUAGCCUGGCACGCCAUGUCCCAGACAGGUCAAUAGCCUGGCACGCCAUGUCCCAGACAGGUCAAUCGUCUGGCAUUGUGGAAUUAGAACAGAGACGUAAC
Molecule: RNA transcript, 1104 nt
Organism: Oncorhynchus keta (chum salmon)
Lineage: Eukaryota; Metazoa; Chordata; Actinopteri; Salmoniformes; Salmonidae
Exons: 7
Source: RefSeq, a predicted model, not a curated record